AGAGUUUGAUCCUGGCUCAGGACGAACGCUGGCGGCGUGCUUAAUACAUGCAAGUCGAGCGAGGUUACUGUUUUGGAUCCCUUCGGGGUGAAGAAGCUUUAACCUAGCGGCGGACGGGUGAGUAACGCGUGGGUAACCUACCCCAAAGUCCGGGAUAACAGCGGGAAACCGCUGCUAAUACCGGAUGCCUUUACCUUGGGGCAUCUUGAGGUAAAGAAAGGUAACGCUUUGGGAUGGGCCCGCGUCCCAUUAGCUAGUUGGUGAGGUAACGGCUCACCAAGGCGACGAUGGGUAGCCGGCCUGAGAGGGUGGACGGCCACACUGGGACUGAGACACGGCCCAGACUCCUACGGGAGGCAGCAGUAGGGAAUAUUGCGCAAUGAACGGAAGUCUGACGCAGCGACGCCGCGUGAGCGAUGAAGGUCUUCGGAUCGUAAAGCUCUGUCCUUGGGGAAGAAGGCGAAAGCUUGACGGUACCCAAGAAGAAAGCCCCGGCUAACUACGUGCCAGCAGCCGCGGUAAU
RNAcentral lists this ribosomal RNA (523 nucleotides) under uncultured bacterium. RNAcentral's name for it is "bacterial SSU rRNA". It matches the Rfam family "Bacterial small subunit ribosomal RNA", at positions 8 to 524 of the family's 1533-position model. The record is from RNAcentral.